GACGAACGCUGGCGGCGUGCCUAAUACAUGCAAGUGGGACGCAAGGAAACACACUGUGCUUGCACUCCGUGUUUUCUUGAGUCGCGAACGGGUGAGUAACGCGUAGGUAACCUGCCUAUUAGCGGGGGAUAACUAUUGGAAACGAUAGCUAAUACCGCAUAAUAUUAAUUAUUGCAUGAUAAUUGAUUGAAAGAUGCAAGCGCAUCACUAGUAGAUGGACCUGCGUUGUAUUAGCUAGUUGGUAAGGUAAGAGCUUACCAAGGCGACGAUACAUAGCCGACCUGAGAGGGUGAUCGGCCACACUGGGACUGAGACACGGCCCAGACUCCUACGGGAGGCAGCAGUAGGGAAUCUUCGGCAAUGGACGAAAGUCUGACCGAGCAACGCCGCGUGAGUGAAGAAGGUUUUCGGAUCGUAAAGCUCUGUUGUAAGUCAAGAACGUGUGUGAGAGUGGAAAGUUCACACAGUGACGGUAGCUUACCAGAAAGGGACGGCUAACUACGUG
RNAcentral lists this ribosomal RNA (505 nucleotides) under uncultured bacterium. RNAcentral describes it as "partial 16S ribosomal RNA". It matches the Rfam family "Bacterial small subunit ribosomal RNA", at positions 28 to 507 of the family's 1533-position model. The record is from RNAcentral.